UCCUGCCGUCUCCCUCGGUGCCUGUUUACUCUGUGACACUGCACCUCCCGCCACACUGUGACACCCAGAGGAUCAUGGGAUUGCUGCGAGAGACACUUCACAUGAUCACCUAUGCGCAGUCAAAACGACGGCAGCUGUCACGCAGAGAUCUUCACUCACUGCAUCUGAAGCAGGAUAACUUCCUGCAGACACUCAAGUUGAAAACAAGUCAUUUUAAAACGUAUCUGCACACCUGAAUCUUUGACAGACACUCGUGAUGCAAAGCUAUGCAACACUUUGUCUCUGCACUUCACUCUGCGGAUCAUCGCUGCAGCAUCGUAUCAAUUAUACGUAGAGGAAAACUACAUUUAACUGCCUUCAUAACUGCACUAUUAAUACCAAUAAACGACAG
Acanthopagrus latus (yellowfin seabream) is the source of this 391-nucleotide long non-coding RNA. RefSeq lists it as uncharacterized. The transcript is spliced from 3 exons. Lineage: Eukaryota; Metazoa; Chordata; Actinopteri; Spariformes; Sparidae. The record is from RefSeq and is a predicted model, not a curated record.